Molecule: transfer RNA, 74 nt
Filed under: Brachybacterium phenoliresistens
Lineage: Bacteria; Bacillati; Actinomycetota; Actinomycetes; Micrococcales; Dermabacteraceae
Rfam family: tRNA
About the family: Transfer RNA (tRNA) molecules are approximately 80 nucleotides in length. Their secondary structure includes four short double-helical elements and three loops (D, anti-codon, and T loops).
Source: Rfam by way of RNAcentral
GGGCCUGUAGCUCAGUCGGUCAGAGCACCGGACUCAUAAUCCGUCGGUCGUGGGUUCAAGCCCCACCAGGCCUA